AUUGAACGCUGGCGGCAUGCUUUACACAUGCAAGUCGAACGGUAACAGGGUGCUUGCACCGCUGACGAGUGGCGAACGGGUGAGUAAUGCGUCGGAACGUGCCGAGUAGUGGGGGAUAACGCAGCGAAAGUUGUGCUAAUACCGCAUACGUACUGAGGUAGAAAGUGGGGGACCUUCGGGCCUCACGCUAUUCGAGCGGCCGACGUCUGAUUAGCUAGUAGGUGAGGUAAAGGCUCACCUAGGCGACGAUCAGUAGCGGGUCUGAGAGGAUGAUCCGCCACACUGGGACUGAGACACGGCCCAGACUCCUACGGGAGGCAGCAGUGGGGAAUUUUGGACAAUGGGGGCAACCCUGAUCCAGCCAUUCCGCGUGAGUGAAGAAGGCCUUCGGGUUGUAAAGCUCUUUCGGCAGGAACGAAACGGUGGCCCCUAAUACGGGUUGCUAAUGACGGUACCUGAAGAAGAAGCACCGGCUAACUACGUGCCAGCAGCCGCGGUAA
Molecule: ribosomal RNA, 500 nt
Filed under: uncultured bacterium
Lineage: Bacteria
Description: partial 16S ribosomal RNA
Rfam family: Bacterial small subunit ribosomal RNA
Source: RNAcentral